Molecule: ribosomal RNA, 440 nt
Filed under: uncultured bacterium
Lineage: Bacteria
Description: partial 16S ribosomal RNA
Rfam family: Bacterial small subunit ribosomal RNA
Source: RNAcentral
CCUACGGGAGGCAGCAGUGGGGAAUAUUGGACAAUGGGGGGAACCCUGAUCCAGCGACGCCGCGUGAGUGAAGAAGUAUUUCGGUAUGUAAAGCUCUAUCAGCAGGGAAGAAAAUGACGGUACGUGACUAAGAAGCCCCGGCUAACUACGUGCCAGCAGCCGCGGUAAUACGGAGGGGGCAAGCGUUAUCCGGAUUUACUGGGGGUAAAGGGGGCGUAGACGGUGCAGCAAGUCUGACGUUAAAGGUCGGGGCCCAACCCCGGGACUGCAUUGGAAACUGGUGAACUGGAGUACACGAGAGGUAAGCGGAAUGCGUAGUGUAGCGGUGAAAUGCGUAGAUAUUAGGAGGAACACCAGUGGCGAAGGCGGCUUACUGGACUGUAACUGACGUUGAGGCUCGAAAGCGUGGGGAGCGAACAGGAUUAGAUACCCUUGUAGUC